This is a long non-coding RNA of Nicotiana tabacum (common tobacco), 873 nucleotides long. RefSeq lists it as uncharacterized. NCBI's taxonomy places the organism in Eukaryota, Viridiplantae, Streptophyta, Magnoliopsida, Solanales, Solanaceae. The record is from RefSeq and is a predicted model, not a curated record.
AUCAUUUUUUUUUAAAAAAAAAUUCUUCUUCCUCUUUAUUUAAAGAACACUACUACACUCAACAUUCAAUAGGCUGCAGAAAAUAGAAAAACAAUAAUAAAGGUAGUAGGACAAUUUUAUAUAUGCUCACUGUAGGAAGUUAUUGAAGAAGUUGAAGACUUUUGCUGCUGAUUAAUGAUAUUUAUGGCUUCAUUCAAUAAGCAUCAUCAUGAGCUGAAAGUUGUAUUCAUCUUUGCUCUUUUAUGUUAUCCUCAUGUUACAGAUGGUGAAAAAGUAUCAAACUGGGGAAAGGAGACAAUAUUAUCAGGAAUGAAAGUAGGAUCAAGGCCACCAAGGUGUGAAGGAAAAUGCUCGAAUUGCAGGCCUUGUGUUGCUACAUUAAUAGCUCCUGGUCAUCAAGUCAAGAAAGUUACCAUUUCUGCCUCUAAAGAAGAUGGCACUUAUUAUCUUCUUGCAUGGAGAUGUAAAUGUGCAAAUAAGCUUUUCCAACCUUGAAAAACUAUUUAGUUCAUCUGUUUAUUUUUAUAUUUUUAUAUAUAUAUUGAGGUUUUAGCUCAUUCAAGUGUCUAGAGUUUCCUGGAAUUAAGGACCAAAUUUAAUGUAUAUAUGUCAAUAUUAAUUAAUGUUCCCUCACAGUCACAGAUUAUAGAUGUGGGGCUCUAUAGAAUGCAAAAAAAUGUCUACCAUAUAUAUUCCCUAUUAAUUAGUGUCAUAUCAUCUAAGUGAUAAGGGAAUAUUUGGCGCAGCUGAGUUGGGAAUUGGAAAUGCUAGCCUAAGGCAAUCUAGGCAUCACACAUGUAUAACUUCGAGACUGUAGCAGAAGAACAUGUAAAAUUAUAUUGUGCAAAUAAUAUAUAUAUAUAAAUUGUUGAA